AGUGAACGCUGGCGGUAGGCCUAACACAUGCAAGUCGAACGGCAGCACAGUAAGAGCUUGCUCUUACGGGUGGCGAGUGGCGGACGGGUGAGGAAUACAUCGGAAUCUACUUUUUUGUGGGGGAUAACGUAGGGAAACUUACGCUAAUACCGCAUACGACCUACGGGUGAAAGCAGGGGAUCUUCGGACCUUGCGCGAUUGAAUGAGCCGAUGUCGGAUUAGCUAGUUGGCGGGGUAAAGGCCCACCAAGGCGACGAUCCGUAGCUGGUCUGAGAGGAUGAUCAGCCACACUGGAACUGAGACACGGUCCAGACUCCUACGGGAGGCAGCAGUGGGGAAUAUUGGACAAUGGGCACAAGCCUGAUCCAGCCAUACCGCGUGGGUGAAGAAGGCCUUCGGGUUGUAAAGCCCUUUUGUUGGGAAAGAAAAGCAGCAGGUUAAUACCCCGCUGUUCUGACGGUACCCAAAGAAUAAGCACCGGCUAACUUCGUG
Molecule: ribosomal RNA, 492 nt
Filed under: uncultured bacterium
Lineage: Bacteria
Description: partial 16S ribosomal RNA
Rfam family: Bacterial small subunit ribosomal RNA
Source: RNAcentral